This 282-nucleotide long non-coding RNA is filed under the name Gossypium barbadense (sea-island cotton). Its description in RNAcentral is "long non-coding RNA (GBAR_LNC011687)". The record is from RNAcentral. Lineage: Eukaryota; Viridiplantae; Streptophyta; Magnoliopsida; Malvales; Malvaceae.
CUGCAUCCGACGCCAGGACGGGGUUCGAGGUGCUACCUAACUUUUACUAACACUUCUAUACUAAACAGGGCCAUGAAAUCUCAAAUAAUUAAAAUGAAUUUAUAAUCCCAUAAUCAAAAUAGGCCAACACAUAUGGUCAAAGCCAUAUCACAUACUCUAAUAUUUAAACUCCUAUACAUGCCAUAGACUCAAAGUACUUGAAAUCACUACACCAAUAGCGUUAGCUUGACAGUGUGAUAAUAUCUCCGACGAACUCCAACCCGAAUAGACCUGGAAACCCUA